Molecule: long non-coding RNA, 582 nt
Organism: Dendronephthya gigantea
Lineage: Eukaryota; Metazoa; Cnidaria; Anthozoa; Malacalcyonacea; Nephtheidae
Exons: 4
Source: RefSeq, a predicted model, not a curated record
ACACUUAUAGUCAUCCGUAAGUGGAUAAUGUUUCUGGUAUAAUCACUUUCAAUUAAAAAAAUAUAUUGAGUUGAGUUUUUGAACAAGGACAUUACGACACCAUUUAGUCUAUAACAGAUGAUUUUGUUUAGCGAAGUUUCAUGACAUCUUCAGGUCUCGAGAAGAGUUGGGGUUUUUCAAAUAUGAAUUGGCUUUUGUUUCUAUUGCUUCCCGUUUUCGUCACUCGUACAGCAGGUGAAAUGCAAGACGCGUCAGAUCAUCAACAUUUAAUAAGAGCACGAGCAAUAAAAGCAGAUUGUAAAGGUUGUGUCAAUUUAUGUUUCUGGAGGCUCCACUGUGAAACUUGUUGGAAAGCGUCUUGUGAUCAGGGGGGUUGUAUUUGUAAACCUGUCAGUGGAGGGUGCCGUUUAACCAGUGGCUGUCAGAAUGUCGUUCAACCUCAACGCGGAAGAACUGGGACAGAGCCAAAGAGAUCUAAUCCCUGAUCGGAUAUAAACGAAAUCUCACGAACGCUCUUGUAGAAUGUAAUUGUUGUAGUUUCAUUAGCGCUAACCGACUAAAUAUUUGUUUCACUUUAUUAUA